UUUUGGGACAGUGACGUUCUGAUCCCUGAGUUCAUCACCCUGGGCAAGCCACUUAAUCACCUUCCUAUCUGAUAGGAGAUGAUCCUAAGAAGUUCUCCUACCUGCCCAUAGAUGAUGCUCCAUUAAGUCCAGCCAAGAUGUCAGGUUUGAGUUAAUAGAAGGGGAGAAAAUCCAAUGGUAAGCCUCUGACAUUUUCAGAUGCCCCCUGUGCCUCCUACUGUGUGCUACAGAGAAGCCAUUGCCACAGUGGACAGGAGGCCUGCAGCCCCACACAGGAGCAGCAGAGGGAAACCCACCAUUGAUACCAGGAGCAAAGUAGAGAUGCAUGUGUCAGAUAAUUUAUACAGGAUUACGUCCUAGGACCCACAGAACCUUGGUGUCACCACGCUGGUAAGAAACUGAGGCUCAGACUGAUGAAGCCACUUGCUUAAUAAAUUACACAGCUACCAACAAAGCAGAGCCAGGAUUUGAACUCUCUCCAAAGCCCAUGUGCUAAUCACUACUCUGCUCAUACCUACAGAACAUUCCCCCUUGGUUUUAGAUUGUUCAAUCCUGAUGAGUGUUUGGUAACCAUCAGCCCCUGACUGUAUUCCCACCUCUCAGCCUCAGAAACAAGCAGAGACGUGCCCACCCAGCCCCCGGCCCUGGAGAUGCUGAGAAAAUCACACAUUUCAGCUCAGUCAGGCCAAAGUCAUGGCUCAGAUCCAGGCCUGCAGCUUCAAGUUCAGAAAGGGUAAAAUCACUGCCUCACCAGAAGCCAGAGGCUCCCGCUCUUUUUCCUGGACACAGAUGGCCUCCCAGUCCUGGAGCAAGUUCCAAGGAACAAUCUGCUUUCCAUCACAAAAGCAACAACAGCAAAAAAAAAAAAAAAAAAAAAA
This is a long non-coding RNA of Canis lupus familiaris (dog), 878 nucleotides long. RefSeq lists it as uncharacterized. The record is from RefSeq and is a predicted model, not a curated record. The transcript is spliced from 2 exons. NCBI's taxonomy places the organism in Eukaryota, Metazoa, Chordata, Mammalia, Carnivora, Canidae.